Molecule: long non-coding RNA, 290 nt
Filed under: Hordeum vulgare
Lineage: Eukaryota; Viridiplantae; Streptophyta; Magnoliopsida; Poales; Poaceae
Description: long non-coding RNA (HVUL_LNC003893)
Source: RNAcentral
UGCUAUCCAUGUUACGAGCAGGGCUUGGCAGGUCAACAUUUGGAACUGGGUCAUUUACCAUAGUUUGUUCUUGCACGGGCCUUUCCAUGAUGACCGGCUCUUUAAUAUUAAAUGGCUCAUUUUCACAAGUCGCCUCAACCUCUACAUCUGGGCUCAGUUUGGAUUUGUGGAUCAACUCUUGGCGGGUAUUGAAUCUCAAGACCAGCAGCACCACAUGACCCGCCAGUUUGCAUCCUCGCUUAAUCUUUGGCUCUGCAAUCAUGAAGGUAAUAUUGGGUCAAAGAAAUCAU